CCAACCAAAUACACAACCCAGUAUAAGCGUGCCUGCCUCUUUCUCUCUCAUAUUCUCUUAUGAGUUCUCAAAAUUAACAACCAAUAAUCCAUUUUACAACAAAAGAUAAAGAAACCAUUCCAAGUAAGCCAGACAUUUUUAAUCUGAUUUGGCUUAUUUUGCUUUCGGCGAGUUUAAUAUGCUACAAAUUUUCAAAUUCGAGGAUUUCUUCUUUUUCGGUUUUUUUUUUGUUUUUUUGUUUUUUUGUUUUUUUGUUUUUUUUUUGUUUUUUGGGUUCGAACUUUACGCUUUCUUACUGUUCAGAGGCAUGGUUCUUUAUUCUAAAUUCCGUUAUAUUGAUCUAAUUUUGAUUUUGAUGAUUAUAAAUUUUGGUUAUACGGAUGUUUAAUUUAGAUGGUGAUGGAAUUAGACCAUAUAUUACAUGUUUUCACUUGGAUUAGUAUUUUUUUUUUUUCCUUUUUUGGGUUUUGAAUUGCUCAGAAUUUUGCUGUUUAAGAAAAGCUUUUCUAUUCUAUAUAUGGUUAUUCUCUCAUCUCGGUAGUUUUGAGUAGACUAUUCAACAUGGGAAAGUCCCUGAAGAGAUUGUUCCCAGUUCGAUAUCAAUUUGCUAUAUGUGAGUUUCAAAAUUGAGAGAGUAAAGUGAAAAACAAUGCAUAAUUCAUAGGGGUACAAUAUAAUUCCGCCAAUUUUCGAGACUUUGAAUGUAAGACCGCGCUUGAAAUUCGCUGUGUUGGGGGACUCUGGGGUCCAUUCUCAAUGGCGGUAGAGGAAUGUAUUGAACUGCAAGAUGCAAGUUUCUCCCUUUGGCUUGGCUGGUUGAUAAUUGGCCUGGAUUCCUACUUAAAAAAACGUGGGCGAAACAGCAGUGGGCCUAGGUCAUUUCUGUCGAUCCUCGAUACUGACAAAAGACGAAAGGCCCAAUCAAAAGAAAUGCACGUGAUCUUGUGGGAUACAAAAGUAUAAGAAAUAGAGAAAAACCAAGGGAUUCGCUGCAGAAAGAUUGAGACGCUCAUUGGUGGAAAAAAUUGCUGAUGAUAUAAAGGAGGAAAUGAUAAACAAAUUACAAAAAGUACAAAAAAUAAAGGUGUGGCAUGGGACCUCAUGUUGGUAGACCUGUCGCUGUGGGUUAUUUUUAUUUUUAUUAUUUUAUUUAUAUUUUCAGCUUUACCA
This is a long non-coding RNA of Ziziphus jujuba (common jujube), 1170 nucleotides long. RefSeq lists it as uncharacterized. The transcript is spliced from 2 exons. Lineage: Eukaryota; Viridiplantae; Streptophyta; Magnoliopsida; Rosales; Rhamnaceae. The record is from RefSeq and is a predicted model, not a curated record.